GGCCCAGACUCCUACGGGAGGCAGCAGUGGGGAAUAUUGCGCAAUGGGGGAAACCCUGACGCAGCAACGCCGCGUGAGUGAAGAAGUAUCUCGGUAUGUAAAGCUCUAUCAGCGGGGAAGAAGGAAGACGGUACCCGACUAAGAAGCCCCGGCUAACUACGUGCCAGCAGCCGCGGUAAUACGUAGGGGGCGAGCGUUAUCCGGAUUUACUGGGUGUAAAGGGAGCGUAGACGGCGUCGCAAGUCUGAAGUGAAAGCCCGUGGCUCAACCGCGGAACCGCUUUGGAAACUGCGAGGCUGGAGUGUCGGAGAGGCAGGCGGAAUUCCUAGUGUAGCGGUGAAAUGCGUAGAUAUUAGGAGGAACACCAGUGGCGAAGGCGGCCUGCUGGACGAUGACUGACGUUGAGGCUCGAAAGCGUGGGGAGCAAACAGGAUUAGAUACCCGAGUA
This 448-nucleotide ribosomal RNA is filed under the name uncultured bacterium. RNAcentral's name for it is "bacterial SSU rRNA". It matches the Rfam family "Bacterial small subunit ribosomal RNA", at positions 328 to 792 of the family's 1533-position model. The record is from RNAcentral.